This 58-nucleotide transfer RNA is filed under the name Dryobates pubescens (Downy woodpecker). RNAcentral describes it as "Picoides pubescens (downy woodpecker) tRNA". It matches the Rfam family "tRNA", at positions 8 to 63 of the family's 71-position model. Rfam says of the family: Transfer RNA (tRNA) molecules are approximately 80 nucleotides in length. The record is from Rfam by way of RNAcentral. Lineage: Eukaryota; Metazoa; Chordata; Aves; Piciformes; Picidae.
UAGCUCAGUUAGUAGAGCAUGAGACUCUUAGUCUCAGGAUUGUGGGUUUGAGCCCCAU